Long non-coding RNA from Myotis lucifugus (little brown bat), 792 nucleotides. RefSeq lists it as uncharacterized. Lineage: Eukaryota; Metazoa; Chordata; Mammalia; Chiroptera; Vespertilionidae. The transcript is spliced from 2 exons. The record is from RefSeq and is a predicted model, not a curated record.
GGUUUCUAAACUUGACUCUUGGGGAUGCUAUAGAAUGGUUCAUGGAGAACUUUUCUUCUUCUCUUCACAGGAGACAGAGUCCUGACCACAAAAUGUAUGGUUUGCCAUCCUUGGAUAAAUAAUGUUGCAGCAAGAGGGGACCUACUUGAGUUCUUGACACAUUGUCUCUCUGCCCUCCCUGACCCCACUCUUCUCACUCACUGCUCUCGUGUCUUCUUUCUGCCCCAGCCUUGGGUAGGGGUGAUAUCCUUGACUCCAUGAAGAGUCAUAACUGUUCCCUACUCAAAAGAGUAAGGACCCUUGGCAGAUGUUGGGAAGGCUUUCAACUUAUUUUUGUGAGGUUUGCACACCUCAAUAAAAAUGUUUAUAGGUCGGAGAGAUUCUGAAGUAGAAACACUUUCCCUGGAACUCUGCUUUAAAGCUUUACUAUCUUUCUUUAGGGGUUCGAUUUUGCAAUGACUGUGAAAUUUUUGACGGCCAGAACUGCAACCGAGAAAUGAAAAAUUGCUGGAAGAUUCAUACACCGUUUCAAAACAGGAGUUGUCGCACAGAUCACUUUUACUUUUAUGAUCGCCUUACAGGGAGAUACCUGUAUCGUUACACAACACUAUCAUGUGAAACUUGUGAAGAGGGAAUGUUCCAGGUAUUCCAUGACCUCCUGAGGGAAACAUAUUGCUGUACAGAUGAUGACAGGUGCAAUGACCCUAAUGAUAUACCAGACAUUACAAGGGAAUAUGUGUCACAUGACGUAGACAGAAUCGUUAAAAAAUAAAAUAAUGAAGUUUGAAACCA